CACCAGCCGUCACACUAUGAGAGCUGACCAUGCCCGAAGUCGUUACCUUAACCACAAGGAGGGGGAUAUCGAAGGGAAGGCUAGUGACUGGAGUAAAGUCGUAACAAGGUAGCCGUACUGGAAGGUGCGGCUG
Non-coding RNA from Gossypium arboreum, 133 nucleotides. The record is from Rfam. Lineage: Eukaryota; Viridiplantae; Streptophyta; Magnoliopsida; Malvales; Malvaceae.